UAUCGGUAUAAAGCAUGUGUGACCUAACCAGAAACUUGGGAUGUCCCGAUCAGCUUUUUUGACCACCCGAUCAGUUUUUUUAAAUAUUGAAUGUCUGCCAUUACCAAGUCCCGAUCCGAUUCUUGUAUUUGCUCAGGUAAUAGAGCUGCAUAGUGUUACACUAAAACAUAAACUUAAUA
Etheostoma spectabile (orangethroat darter) is the source of this 179-nucleotide long non-coding RNA. RefSeq lists it as uncharacterized. The transcript is spliced from 3 exons. The record is from RefSeq and is a predicted model, not a curated record. Lineage: Eukaryota; Metazoa; Chordata; Actinopteri; Perciformes; Percidae.